UUUAAAGAUCAAAAACAAAAUGGAAGAUAAGAGUCCAGGAACAUACAAAGCAACCUUAGCCUAGUGUUUUCUGCUUCGCCUAGUAUUUAGAGUAUGCUUGCCUUGCUUUAGCCAAACCACUCAUACUGAUUCUCUUUUAGUCUAUCCAUAAAAGCAGAUUCAGUUUCAGUUGCAUCCAGGAACUUGCAUAAUCUGCUUAUGUUAUGCUUAUACUUGCUUUUUUACCUUGAAAGUAGUCUUAAAAAAGGAAAUUGUAACAGAUGUUUGUUGGACCUCUAUUAGUCAAUGAUAUCAGUCAUUGGUGUCCCCCAGCCCAUCCCCGAUGUUGUGUGCAGAGCAAUCUUGUCAUUCUAUUAAGUCUCAACUAUUAUUUUUGUAACUUGUCUUCCUUUACAAAGGCACUGCAGAGGCUAAGAAGACGCAUGGAAAAUCUAAAGAAACAUCACUGAACUUGUGAGGCCAGAUUUGAAGCUCAGAUGUCAGACACUGAGGUUGCCAGUACCUCUGAGGCUGCCAGUACCGCUGGGUCGAUAGUCCAUGUGUUGGAUGAUGCACCGCCAUUGAUCAGAACAGACAGCAUAUUCUUGACCAAAGCUAUGCUUGGAUACAAGACUGAUGACUCAAUAACCAGCAUUGACAACAGUGAAGAUGG
This is a long non-coding RNA of Coregonus clupeaformis (lake whitefish), 652 nucleotides long. RefSeq lists it as uncharacterized. NCBI's taxonomy places the organism in Eukaryota, Metazoa, Chordata, Actinopteri, Salmoniformes, Salmonidae. The transcript has 3 exons. The record is from RefSeq and is a predicted model, not a curated record.